GAUGAAGAACGCAGCGAAAUGCGAUAAGUAGUGUGAAUUGCAGACUUUAGUGAAUCAUCGAAUCUUUGAACGCACAUUGCGCCCCCUGGUAUUCCGGGGGGCAUGCCUGUCCGAGCGUCAUUACAACCCUCAAGCUCAGCUUGGUGUUGGGCCCCGCCGCCCCGGCGGGCCCUAAAGUCAGUGGCGGUGCCGUCCGGCUCCGAGCGUAGUAAUUCUUCUCGCUCUGGAGGUCCGGUCGUGUGCUCGCCAGCAACCCCCAAUUUUUUUCAGGUUGACCUCGGAUCAGGUAGGGAUACCCGCUGAACUUAAGCAUAUCAAUAAGCGGAGGA
RNAcentral lists this unclassified non-coding RNA (329 nucleotides) under soil metagenome. Its description in RNAcentral is "partial contains 5.8S ribosomal RNA, internal transcribed spacer 2, and large subunit ribosomal RNA". The stretch from base 1 to 120 matches the Rfam family "5.8S ribosomal RNA", at positions 35 to 154 of the family's 154-position model. The record is from RNAcentral.